RNAcentral lists this long non-coding RNA (330 nucleotides) under Parus major (Great Tit). RNAcentral describes it as "lncRNA (ENSPMJG00000012894.1)". Lineage: Eukaryota; Metazoa; Chordata; Aves; Passeriformes; Paridae. The record is from RNAcentral.
ACUGAGGGGAUCGAUUACCAUAAUUAGCCCCAGAAGUCACUACUGUACAGAAGUGUGGGAACCAGGUGAAGCCAAGUCUCAGAGGAGGUUGAAAGUGGUGCUCUUGAAUCCAGAUGUACAGAGUGGGAAAUCACUGCCAUUGGAAGAGAACAAUGCAAGAAAGGCUUUGCUUUACCAGCCUGCACUACAAAGGAAAAAAGAAAACCUGAGACAGUACCGAACAUGUCUCUCGGAAAUAAAGGACUUCCGUUUUACUGAAUAGUAACAUCAAAUCAGAGAAGCUGCCUAUGGCUGGGCUCUAUGUAAAUAAAAGGAAUGUACUCUAUACCA